GACGAACGCUGGCGGCGUGCCUAACACAUGCAAGUUGAGCGACGAACCAGGGCUUGCCCUGGGGCAAAGCAGCGAACGGGUGGGUAACACGUGGGUAACCUACCCCGAUAACCGGGACAACCCGAGGAAACUCGGGCUAAUACCGGAUGUGCUCACUGGACUUCGGUUCAGUGCGUAAAGGAAGCUUCGGCCUCCGUAUCGGGAGGGGCCCGCGGCCCAUUAGUUUGUUGGUGAGGUAACGGCUCACCAAGACCGCGAUGGGUAGCUGGUCUGAGAGGACGAUCAGCCACACUGGGACUGAGACACGGCCCAGACUCCUACGGGAGGCAGCAGUGGGGAAUCUUGCGCAAUGCGCGAAAGCGUGACGCAGCAACGCCGCGUGGGGGAAGAAGGCCUUCGGGUUGUAAACCCCUUUCAGGAGGGACGAAGGUUCGGCGGUGAAUAGCCGUCCGGACUGACGGUACCUCCACAAGAAGCCCCGGCUAACUACGUG
This 493-nucleotide ribosomal RNA is filed under the name uncultured bacterium. Its description in RNAcentral is "partial 16S ribosomal RNA". It matches the Rfam family "Bacterial small subunit ribosomal RNA", at positions 28 to 507 of the family's 1533-position model. The record is from RNAcentral.